RNAcentral lists this ribosomal RNA (449 nucleotides) under uncultured bacterium. Its description in RNAcentral is "partial 16S ribosomal RNA". It matches the Rfam family "Bacterial small subunit ribosomal RNA", at positions 29 to 523 of the family's 1533-position model. The record is from RNAcentral.
AACGAACGCUGGCGGCAGGCUUAACACAUGCAAGUCGAACGAGAUCUUCGGAUCUAGUGGCAGACGGGUGAGGAACACGUGGGAACAUCCCUUUCAGUUCGGGAUAACGUUGGGAAACUAACGCUAAUACCGGAUACGUCCUUCGGGAGAAAGAUUUAUCGCUGAAAGAUUGGCCCGCGUCCGAUUAGCUAGUUGGUGAGGUAAUGGCUCACCAAGGCUACGAGCAGUAGCUGAUCUGAGAGGAUGAUCAGCGACAUUGGGACUGAGACACGGCCCAAACUCCUACGGGAGGCAGCAGUGGGGAAUAUUGGACAAUGGGCGCAAGCCUGAUCCAGCCAUGCCGCGUGAGUGAUGACGGCCUUCGGGUUGUAAAGCUCUUUUGUCCGGGAAGAUAAUGACUGUACCGGAAGAAUAAGCCCCGGCAAACUUCGUGCCAGCAGCCGCAGUAA